AAUUGGUUUGGAAACGGUUUAACCAAAUCUUGUUGCCUCGGCGGGGUCACGCCCCGGGUGCGUCGCAGCCCCGGAACCAGGCGCCCGCCGGAGGAACCAACCAAACUCUUUCUGUAGUCCCCUCGCGGACGUAUUUCUUACAGCUCUGAGCAAAAAUUCAAAAUGAAUCAAAACUUUCAACAACGGAUCUCUUGGUUCUGGCAUCGAUGAAGAACGCAGCGAAAUGCGAUAAGUAAUGUGAAUUGCAGAAUUCAGUGAAUCAUCGAAUCUUUGAACGCACAUUGCGCCCGCCAGUAUUCUGGCGGGCAUGCCUGUCCGAGCGUCAUUUCAACCCUCGAACCCCUCCGGGGGAUCGGCGUUGGGGAUCGGGACCCCUCACACGGGUGCCGGCCCCGAAAUACAGUGGCGGUCUCGCCGCAGCCUCUCCUGCGCAGUAGUUUGCACAACUCGCACCGGGAGCGCGGCGCGUCCACGUCCGUAAAACACCCAACUUUCUGAAAUGUUGACCUCGGAUCAGGUAGGAAUACCCGCUGAACUUAAGCAUAUCAAUAAGCGGAGG
This 559-nucleotide ribosomal RNA is filed under the name Trichoderma asperellum. RNAcentral describes it as "eukaryotic LSU rRNA". The stretch from base 172 to 325 matches the Rfam family "5.8S ribosomal RNA". The record is from RNAcentral. Lineage: Eukaryota; Fungi; Ascomycota; Sordariomycetes; Hypocreales; Hypocreaceae.